Molecule: ribosomal RNA, 253 nt
Filed under: uncultured bacterium
Lineage: Bacteria
Description: partial 16S ribosomal RNA
Rfam family: Bacterial small subunit ribosomal RNA
Source: RNAcentral
UACGUAGGGUGCAAGCGUUGUCCGGAAUUAUUGGGCGUAAAGAGCUCGUAGGCGGUCUGUCGCGUCGGCUGUGAAAACCUAGGGCUCAACCCUGGGCCUGCAGCCGAUACGGGCAGACUAGAAUUCGGUAGGGGAGACUGGAAUUCCUGGUGUAGCGGUGAAAUGCGCAGAUAUCAAGAGGAACACCGGUGGCGAAGGCGGGUCUCUGGGCCGAUAUUGACGCUGAGGAGCGAAAGCGUGGGGAGCGAACAGG